UAACACGUAGGAGCCAAGCGUUAUCCGAAUUCACUGGGCGUAAAGCGCGUGCAGGCGGUCUGGUAAGUUGGAUGUGAAAUCUCCUGGCUCAACUGGGAGAGGCCGUACAAUACUGUCAGACUAGAGGGCGACAGAGGGAGGUAGAAUUCCCGGUGUAGUGGUGAAAUGCGUAGAUAUCGGGAGGAAUACCAGAGGCGAAGGCGACCUUCUGGGUCGCACCUGACGCUCAGACGCGAAAGCUAGGGGAGCAAACGGGAUUAGAAACCCCGGUAGUCCUAGCCGUAAACGAUGUAGACUGGGUGUUGGCGGGGUAAAAGCCGUCAGUGCCGAAGCAAACGCGAUAAGUCUACCGCCUGGGGACUACGGCCGCAAGGUUAAAACUUAAAUGAAUUGACGG
RNAcentral lists this ribosomal RNA (397 nucleotides) under uncultured bacterium. RNAcentral's name for it is "bacterial SSU rRNA". It matches the Rfam family "Bacterial small subunit ribosomal RNA", at positions 521 to 916 of the family's 1533-position model. The record is from RNAcentral.